RNAcentral lists this ribosomal RNA (468 nucleotides) under uncultured bacterium. RNAcentral describes it as "partial 16S ribosomal RNA". It matches the Rfam family "Bacterial small subunit ribosomal RNA", at positions 28 to 507 of the family's 1533-position model. The record is from RNAcentral.
GACGAACGCUGGCGGCGUGCUUAACACAUGCAAGUCGAACGGAAAGGCCCUGCUUUUGUGGGGUGCUCGAGUGGCGAACGGGUGAGUAACACGUGAGUAACCUGCCCCUGACUUUGGGAUAACUUCAGGAAACUGGGGCUAAUACCGGAUAGGAGCUCCUGCUGCAUGGUGGGGGUUGGAAAGUUUCGGCGGUUGGGGAUGGACUCGCGGCUUAUCAGCUUGUUGGGUGGGUAGUGGCUUAGCAAGGCCUUGACGGGUAGCCGGCCUGAGAGGGUGACCUGACACGCUGGGCUUGGGCUGCGGCCCGGCCCCCUCCGGGACGGGACGGUGGAGUAUAUUGCACUAUGGGCGGAACCCUGAUGCGGUCACGCCGCGUGCGGGAUGACGGCCUUCGGUUUGUAUUCCACUUUCGCCUGUGACGAAGCGUGAGUGACGGUAAUGGGUAAAGAAGCACCGGCUAACUCCGUG